AUGCCGCUGCCCGUUGCGCUGCAGACCCGCUUGGCCAAGAGAGGCAUCCUCAAACAUCUGGAGCCUGAACCAGAGGAAGAGAUCAUUGCCGAGGACUAUGACGAUGAUCCUGUGGACUACGAGGCCACCAGGUUGGAGGGCCUACCACCAAGCUGGUACAAGGUGUUCGACCCUUCCUGCGGGCUCCCUUACUACUGGAAUGCAGACACAGACCUUGUAUCCUGGCUCUCCCCACAUGACCCCAACUCCGUGGUUACCAAAUCGGCCAAGAAGCUCAGAAGCAGUAAUGCAGAUGCUGAAGAAAAGUUGGACCGGAGCCAUGACAAGUCGGACAGGGGCCAUGACAAGUCGGACCGCAGCCAUGAGAAACUAGACAGGGGCCACGACAAGUCAGACCGGGGCCACGACAAGUCUGACAGGGAUCGAGAGCGUGGCUAUGACAAGGUAGACAGAGAGAGAGAGCGAGACAGGGAACGGGAUCGGGACCGCGGGUAUGACAAGGCAGACCGGGAAGAGGGCAAAGAACGGCGCCACCAUCGCCGGGAGGAGCUGGCUCCCUACCCCAAGAGCAAGAAGGGUAAGCUGGGCAGAAUGGGGCUCGGUGAGACCAACAAGGUGCAGGGUGCACUGCAUGAGGAUGCCUUCCCUCAAAAAGAUGCCUGGACCUGGGGCUAGAGGAGGGUGCUGUGGUACAUGGCAGCCAGGGGCUUCAUUUCUUCUUGUGGGGUGGGGCUCAGUGAUCAGGGGCUCCUGGUGCCUCUAUUGAAGACUUUGCCCUGCCACUUCCACAGCAGUAAGCCGAAAGGAUGAAGAGUUAGACCCCAUGGACCCUAGCUCAUACUCAGACGCCCCCCGGGGCACGUGGUCAACAGGACUCCCCAAGCGGAAUGAGGCCAAGACUGGCGCUGACACCACAGCAGCUGGGCCCCUCUUCCAGCAGCGGCCGUAUCCAUCCCCAGGGGCUGUGCUCCGGGCCAAUGCAGAGGCCUCCCGAACCAAGCAGCAGGAUUGA
Molecule: small RNA, 1012 nt
Filed under: Pan troglodytes (chimpanzee)
Lineage: Eukaryota; Metazoa; Chordata; Mammalia; Primates; Hominidae
Description: processed transcript
Source: RNAcentral